UCAGAUAUGGUGUAGCGGUAACAUCGCCUCUUUGAAUACUAUAGGCAUCUUCUAUCUUUAUGAGGCCGUCCCGGGUUCGAACCCCGGUGUCUGAG
This is a non-coding RNA of Mycena epipterygia, 95 nucleotides long. The record is from the annotation of a GenBank genome assembly. NCBI's taxonomy places the organism in Eukaryota, Fungi, Basidiomycota, Agaricomycetes, Agaricales, Mycenaceae.